UUUAACCUGAUGGUCUUCUAUAAAGUUUCCGCCUACCCAAUAUCAUUUUGUCCCUCUAAAUGGAGUCUACAUAUUUCAUUUGAAUCUUAUAUUCAUUCUCAAUCAAAGUCUGAUGGAUUUGAUCAGAUCUUAUUGGAUAUAGCUUUAUUUAAACCUUUGGUAGCUGCAGCUUUAAAUGCUUUGAAGAAGAGCAUGAAUUCCAAAUUGAAUUGUUUCUACGCCACAGCUGAAACAUGAUUUGACCUGCCGGUUGGAAACAAGACUUCACCUACUGCGUUGUUUACUUAAAACAUCAAAUCGACCAGGCCAAAUUUUUCAUAAAAUAAUACCCUUAUCUCUAAAUAUGAAUGACAUGAAGCUGGAAAAAAUUACAUUUGCCCAAGACGCCAGCCAGUCGAAUCGAACCUUGGACCUCGUUAUUGUGAAGUCAAUUUUAAUGAUGGCUUCAAAUUUUGGUAUACGACCACCAAUUUUAGGGGAGGAAUUAAGUCGAUUACAUUCACCUCAGUGCUCAACCGGUACUUAUUUUAUCGACCCUGAAAGGAUAAAAGGCAAAGUCGAUCCCGGUAGAAUUUGAACUCAGAACGCAUGAAAUGUCGCUAUAUUUUGCCCGGCAUGUUAACGAUUCUGCCAGCUCGCCACCUUCAAGCGAAUUUCAAUAAUACUACGCCAAAUAUCUUGAGCAAGGAUGACAUUUGAAUAACAUUUGAACGCAAAGUGUUGGCGAGCCUCUGAUCUCUGAAAAUAGCAAAAUAAAACUUUUCUGGACAGUAGCCGGAUUUCACAAAUUUAAAUAUCACACCGGACACUUUUUGCCCGUAACCUUUUUCGUCAAAUUGGCGGAGUAAAAGAAAAAAGAACGGCACACCAAUACAUUUUUGAGAGAAACAUUACAGAUUUUUAUCUAAACGUUGUAGUUCAAUUCGUAAUUUAAAAGAAUGAGAGGAACACAAUCAUAUGAGUGAAAGCUUAACUACAUCAAGGAUUCUUAGC
Long non-coding RNA from Octopus bimaculoides (California two-spot octopus), 993 nucleotides. NCBI's taxonomy places the organism in Eukaryota, Metazoa, Mollusca, Cephalopoda, Octopoda, Octopodidae. The record is from RefSeq and is a predicted model, not a curated record.